RNAcentral lists this ribosomal RNA (2803 nucleotides) under Klebsiella pneumoniae. Its description in RNAcentral is "bacterial LSU rRNA". It matches the Rfam family "Bacterial large subunit ribosomal RNA". The record is from RNAcentral. Lineage: Bacteria; Pseudomonadati; Pseudomonadota; Gammaproteobacteria; Enterobacterales; Enterobacteriaceae. RNAcentral also lists the same sequence under 1 other name.
GGGUUGUGAGGUUAAGCGACUAAGCGUACACGGUGGAUGCCCUGGCAGUCAGAGGCGAUGAAGGACGUGCUAAUCUGCGAAAAGCGUCGGUAAGGUGAUAUGAACCGUUAUAACCGGCGAUGUCCGAAUGGGGAAACCCAGUGCAAUUCGUUGCACUAUCGUUAACUGAAUACAUAGGUUAACGAGGCGAACCGGGGGAACUGAAACAUCUAAGUACCCCGAGGAAAAGAAAUCAACCGAGAUUCCCCCAGUAGCGGCGAGCGAACGGGGAGCAGCCCAGAGUCUGAAUCAGCUUGUGUGUUAGUGGAACGGUCUGGAAAGUCCGACGGUACAGGGUGAUAGUCCCGUACACCAAAAUGCACAGGUUGUGAACUCGAAGAGUAGGGCGGGACACGUGGUAUCCUGUCUGAAUAUGGGGGGACCAUCCUCCAAGGCUAAAUACUCCUGACUGACCGAUAGUGAACCAGUACCGUGAGGGAAAGGCGAAAAGAACCCCGGCGAGGGGAGUGAAAAAGAACCUGAAACCGUGUACGUACAAGCAGUGGGAGCACCUUCGGGUGUGACUGCGUACCUUUUGUAUAAUGGGUCAGCGACUUAUAUUCUGUAGCAAGGUUAACCGUAUAGGGGAGCCGCAGGGAAACCGAGUCUUAACUGGGCGUUAAGUUGCAGGGUAUAGACCCGAAACCCGGUGAUCUAGCCAUGGGCAGGUUGAAGGUUGGGUAACACUAACUGGAGGACCGAACCGACUAAUGUUGAAAAAUUAGCGGAUGACUUGUGGCUGGGGGUGAAAGGCCAAUCAAACCGGGAGAUAGCUGGUUCUCCCCGAAAGCUAUUUAGGUAGCGCCUCGUGAACUCAUCUUCGGGGGUAGAGCACUGUUUCGGCUAGGGGGUCAUCCCGACUUACCAACCCGAUGCAAACUACGAAUACCGAAGAAUGUUAUCACGGGAGACACACGGCGGGUGCUAACGUCCGUCGUGAAGAGGGAAACAACCCAGACCGCCAGCUAAGGUCCCAAAGUCAUGGUUAAGUGGGAAACGAUGUGGGAAGGCACAGACAGCCAGGAUGUUGGCUUAGAAGCAGCCAUCAUUUAAAGAAAGCGUAAUAGCUCACUGGUCGAGUCGGCCUGCGCGGAAGAUGUAACGGGGCUAAACCAUGCACCGAAGCUGCGGCAGCGACACUAUGUGUUGUUGGGUAGGGGAGCGUUCUGUAAGCCUGCGAAGGUGUGCUGUGAGGCAUGCUGGAGGUAUCAGAAGUGCGAAUGCUGACAUAAGUAACGAUAAAGCGGGUGAAAAGCCCGCUCGCCGGAAGACCAAGGGUUCCUGUCCAACGUUAAUCGGGGCAGGGUGAGUCGACCCCUAAGGCGAGGCCGAAAGGCGUAGUCGAUGGGAAACAGGUUAAUAUUCCUGUACUUGGUGUUACUGCGAAGGGGGGACGGAGAAGGCUAUGUUAGCCGGGCGACGGUUGUCCCGGUUUAAGCAUGUAGGCUGGUUAUCCAGGCAAAUCCGGAUAAUCAAGGCUGAGGUGUGAUGACGAGGCACUACGGUGCUGAAGUAACAAAUGCCCUGCUUCCAGGAAAAGCCUCUAAGCAUCAGGUAACAUCAAAUCGUACCCCAAACCGACACAGGUGGUCAGGUAGAGAAUACCAAGGCGCUUGAGAGAACUCGGGUGAAGGAACUAGGCAAAAUGGUGCCGUAACUUCGGGAGAAGGCACGCUGGUGUGUAGGUGAAGUCCCUGCGGAUGGAGCUGAGACCAGUCGAAGAUACCAGCUGGCUGCAACUGUUUAUUAAAAACACAGCACUGUGCAAACACGAAAGUGGACGUAUACGGUGUGACGCCUGCCCGGUGCCGGAAGGUUAAUUGAUGGGGUUAUCCGUAAGGAGAAGCUCUUGAUCGAAGCCCCGGUAAACGGCGGCCGUAACUAUAACGGUCCUAAGGUAGCGAAAUUCCUUGUCGGGUAAGUUCCGACCUGCACGAAUGGCGUAAUGAUGGCCAGGCUGUCUCCACCCGAGACUCAGUGAAAUUGAACUCGCUGUGAAGAUGCAGUGUACCCGCGGCAAGACGGAAAGACCCCGUGAACCUUUACUAUAGCUUGACACUGAACAUUGAGCCUUGAUGUGUAGGAUAGGUGGGAGGCUUUGAAGCGUGGACGCCAGUCUGCGUGGAGCCAACCUUGAAAUACCACCCUUUAAUGUUUGAUGUUCUAACGUUGGCCCCUGACCGGGGUUGCGGACAGUGUCUGGUGGGUAGUUUGACUGGGGCGGUCUCCUCCCAAAGCGUAACGGAGGAGCACGAAGGUUAGCUAAUCCUGGUCGGACAUCAGGAGGUUAGUGCAAUGGCAUAAGCUAGCUUGACUGCGAGCGUGACGGCGCGAGCAGGUGCGAAAGCAGGUCAUAGUGAUCCGGUGGUUCUGAAUGGAAGGGCCAUCGCUCAACGGAUAAAAGGUACUCCGGGGAUAACAGGCUGAUACCGCCCAAGAGUUCAUAUCGACGGCGGUGUUUGGCACCUCGAUGUCGGCUCAUCACAUCCUGGGGCUGAAGUAGGUCCCAAGGGUAUGGCUGUUCGCCAUUUAAAGUGGUACGCGAGCUGGGUUUAGAACGUCGUGAGACAGUUCGGUCCCUAUCUGCCGUGGGCGCUGGAGAAUUGAGGGGGGCUGCUCCUAGUACGAGAGGACCGGAGUGGACGCAUCACUGGUGUUCGGGUUGUCAUGCCAAUGGCACUGCCCGGUAGCUAAAUGCGGAAGAGAUAAGUGCUGAAAGCAUCUAAGCACGAAACUUGCCCCGAGAUGAGUUCUCCCUGAGACU